UGAUUCAGUUUUCUUUUUCUUUUUUUUUCUCUAUUUCUAAUUACCUCUCGGUAUAUAACUAUAUCCGAUGCUAAAUGCUCCACGGACAAAUCGGUGAAGACAGGUUCAAUAAAAUUAGUUCAGUACAUCAACAGUCGCUGUUCCCCAGCGCUGCCCUACUCGACAUUCUUGAUUUUUUCCACGCUCCACCUAGCGCUAGGCUAUUUGAGGCGGGGUAGAAUGCAGUGUGAUAAUUGAUUUUCGUUUGAUUUUUCUCAACCCGUCGUUAGAAUUAAAGCACUAUAUCAUAUCUAAAUACAUAGGAAAUACAACAAUAAUAAUUUGUACUCGAUGAUUACAAGGCAGAAUGUUCAGUGGUUCCAGCAAGAGUGAUUAAACGUGCUUCUAAGAUUAUCAGAAGUAUCCGCUACUUUUCACUAUUUACCCGUCACAGUAUGAAUAACUGAUGGGGCCUUUCCUCUCGAAGGGCAGCAGGUGACUGAAAAAAAAUAAACAGUAGGGUCGGAAGGCAGCCUUCCAAAUGAUCUAUGAUCUAGGUCUAAAUUGUGUGGUGGAGUUGUGAAAACACACACAUAAAAAGAUGGAUAAAGCGUUUGGGUUUGGGUAUUUUAAAGGGGGGUUUUUCAAUUCGUUUUGCAGUGCGUGCGUGCCAUCAAACGCUCAGGGAAUAGCAAUGUGAAUUGUGAAUGUUGAAUAGCGAACGCUGCUAGAUUCCUAAUGGACUACACUGUGUAUUCGAAUAAAACUUACUGAACUCACGCUUCGAAACGUUGUUCAAAUUUUGUUUCCUGGAAAACGCACAGAACUAGCUACUACAACAGCUUUCCAAAGUCGGCCGCAUCGGCGCUAAGCGGAGGACAAGCGGCAAGUGUGCGCGUGGUAGCGAAACGAGAGAGGAGAGGGAGUCGGUGCCGUCUUUGUGUUGGCUCGGCGACAGCAGCCAGCCAUGGGUCGAUAGCUCGUCGAUACAAGAGCCUGAGAGACGCUUCCACUCACACACGCACACACACGUACACACUCGCGCCCUCUACAGGAUUGGGUGCCUUUCGUUCUUUGUCGAGAAAGAAAAAGAUCGUGAAAGCAAUUCCGAAGACUAGUCUGUGUCACUUCGUGGAAUAUAAAGAACCUUGGUCCUUUGGAAACUGUUUUGUUGUGUGAAGUAUAAUUGUUCAAGCUGAGGCGAUUCCGUUCGGGAAUAAAUGCAUGUGACCCGUUGAACUUGGAUGUUCCUGGUGGAGAUUGGACCUGAUUCAUUAUUCUGCUGAUUUUUCUUAUGAUUACGUCCAAUCGAAGAGCAAAGGCCAGACCUGCAUCCAGAUUAUUUAGUUCUACGGCUACUAGUCCGACGGAUAAGCUGUAACUGUGAGUCUGUCUGUCCGGCCUCGGUCACCCAGCCGUGUUGCGGUGAGUCAUCACAUGACACCACAUUAAUUAUUGACCACCGGGGACACACGCCACUCACUGCCAAUCGCCUCAAGGCCGUUUGAUGAUCUGUCCGCCUUGCCAGAUAGAGCGAAGACUGGGUAAAAAAGAGCAGGAUAUUUUUUUAAAGAAAAGGAUACGGUUUUUCAUCAGGAACUAAAUCAAGGACAUUGCUGUCCAAAGGCAUCGUAUACAUGUAUAAACAAAGUAGCCUGGAUCAGAAAAGGACAGUUUUUGAGGAGGAACCAGUCAUAAUCUGUUUUUUUUAGUCUGUACAUAUCAGGUCACACAAGUGUUACAUAUAUACUGUUAGGGUCAUCGAGUCUUGUCAAAGGAACUUGUCCCACUCCCUCUCGCCCCCCAAUCCCACAGUCUGCAACAACUAGAUACGCAUUUUAUUUUCCAUUUUUAAGCCGUUGUGUGUAGAGGAGAUAGGAAUGACUGUGGUCACUCGCUUCAAGUACUUAUAAAAUACAACCCCGAUUCCAAUAUAUAUGCAGACGCUGAUCGAUGCGUCGUUCAAAUUGACAGAGAUCUUGACCAGAUUGAGUGUGUGGAUCAAGUCAAGAUUGCUGGAGCUGUAUUUAAACGAUGUAAGUCAAUCUGACUGACAUUGGAGCAAGUGACAUUUACGAAGUAUUUGCACGACACAGAACCUCUUCUAUUUAGCUGUGCUUGUAUCGCUUAGGAUCUGUUUGAAAUUGACUAUAAUCCUUUAUUAGCAUUGUGACCG
Molecule: long non-coding RNA, 2155 nt
Organism: Aplysia californica (California sea hare)
Lineage: Eukaryota; Metazoa; Mollusca; Gastropoda; Aplysiida; Aplysiidae
Exons: 2
Source: RefSeq, a predicted model, not a curated record